AGCGAAAUGCGAUACUUGGUGUGAAUUGCAGAAUCCCGUGAACCAUCGAGUCUUUGAACGCAAGUUGCGCCUGAGGCCAUUAGGCUAAGGGCACGUCUGCCUGGGCGUCACGC
Molecule: ribosomal RNA, 113 nt
Filed under: Lappula squarrosa
Lineage: Eukaryota; Viridiplantae; Streptophyta; Magnoliopsida; Boraginales; Boraginaceae
Also listed under: 2 other names
Description: 5.8S ribosomal RNA
Rfam family: 5.8S ribosomal RNA
About the family: 5.8S ribosomal RNA (5.8S rRNA) is a component of the large subunit of the eukaryotic ribosome. It is transcribed by RNA polymerase I as part of the 45S precursor that also contains 18S and 28S rRNA.
Source: RNAcentral